CUUCUCCAUCACAUUAACCACAUCUUUUUUAUUUUUCUCAUACUUUUUGUUCUUGUGCUUUUUCUGUGUCAUUCUCCUGCCUUCUUCCACAUUCUUUCACCUCUCUUUCAUUCCUGUUUACCCUUUUCUAUUUCCAUCUAAGCUCUUAUCCUCAUUUUCUUCUCAUUUCAGUUUCCUGUGAACUCCUUUUUCAUUACUCCCACUGUUCUCAAAAGGUUUUUUUAUAUUGUUGUGUUCCAUUCAACCAUCUUCAUGCAUAUCUCAUUCUCUCUUUCUGUCCUUUGUAAACACAUGCACACAUAAUCGCACUACUUCACUCAUAAACACACUCUCCCUCUUGUCAUCCCAGACAUUAGUGAUUAACGUUGUAAGUGGAUACACCAUAUAUAUAUAUUCCUUGCCUGGUCAUUGCCCUCUCUUGCAGCCAGACAGGCUUGCUAAUGUGUGCUAGUGUGCACCUAUACAUCAUAAUGUCAGCUCGGCUAUGCCCCAAUCUUUUCUUUAAAAGUCAUUAAAAUGUGUUGGUUUAAUUGUAGAUCAUUGACAGGUGCUGCUACAGCUCACAGAUAGGUAGCACAGCCCUUAAAACAAUGGGGUAUGGGGGAGGGCGUUUAAAGGGCAUAUAAAUUUGUGUCUGAAGUAGAAUAUGGGGCUACAUCCAAUAAAGCCCCCUAACGAGGGAAAUAACUAAGAUAACUUUAGAAUAAUGAAAAGGAAAAGGGAGAUGCUCAAAGGCAUUUCUAAAU
Non-coding RNA from Pelobates cultripes (western spadefoot toad), 746 nucleotides. The record is from the annotation of a GenBank genome assembly. Lineage: Eukaryota; Metazoa; Chordata; Amphibia; Anura; Pelobatidae.